This 586-nucleotide long non-coding RNA is filed under the name Coffea arabica (coffee). Its description in RNAcentral is "long non-coding RNA (CARA_LNC005020)". Lineage: Eukaryota; Viridiplantae; Streptophyta; Magnoliopsida; Gentianales; Rubiaceae. The record is from RNAcentral.
AAUUGCUAUGCUUAGUGUGUGACUCGUUGAUUUUUUUAGGGUUAGAAUUCAAAAAAUUGGCCCCCUAAUAACCAACCCAUCACUUCGCAUUAUCUCGAUCUAAAGCUAAAGAACCAGUCAAGAUGUGACCGAUAUAUCACAUCCUUGCAGCAACUGAAAUUUUUUUUAUGUUCUUGCAAAAAUAAAUAAGAUUUUAAGUUGGAAAGCAAAAUAGAGAAGAAAGCUGUGGAUAAAUGGAAGGAUGAGAGAAAGAGAAAAAAUAUCUAUGAUAUAGAAUUCCAAUAUGUAAGGUCUAUGAGUGAUCUCAUAAAAGGCAGUGUAAUAAAGCAUCAAUACUGAUUCAUCCAUAAUUAAAUGACUCUUCUUAUAGAACAUUUUAUAGUAGAACAUUAUAGAACAAAACAAAAAAAAAUAAAGAGUUUCGAGACAAUAAAGACUGAGAAAAUUGACUCUAAGAACAAAUUUCAUUACUAAGCUCCGUUGUAAAAUUUGGACCUAAACAUUAAAGUAAGAAGUGAUGGGAACGAUGGAAACUGUGAAUCCAAAAGAUUUUAUUAAAAUGAAUCUUAAUGAUUCGCCGGUCGGG